This 468-nucleotide ribosomal RNA is filed under the name uncultured bacterium. Its description in RNAcentral is "partial 16S ribosomal RNA". It matches the Rfam family "Bacterial small subunit ribosomal RNA", at positions 28 to 507 of the family's 1533-position model. The record is from RNAcentral.
GAUGAACGCUGGCGGCGUGCUUAACACAUGCAAGUCGAACGGAAAGGCCCUGCUUUUGUGGGGUGCUCGAGUGGCGAACGGGUGAGUAUCACGUGUGUAACCUGCCCUUGACUUUGGGAUAACUUCAGGAAAAUGGGGCUCAUACCGGAUAGGAGCUCCUGCUGCAUGGUGGGGGUUGGAAAGUUUCGGCGGUUGGGGAUGGACUCGCGGCUUAUCAGCUUGUUGGUGUGGUAGUGGCUUACCAAGGCUUCGACGGGUAGCCGGCCUGAGAGGGUGACCGGCCACAAUGGGACUGAGAUACGGCCCAGAAGCCUACGGGAGGCAGCAGGGGGGAAUAUUGCGCAAUGGGCGGAAGCCUGAUGCAGCAACGCCGCGUGCGUGAUGACGGCCUUCGGGUUGUAAACCGCUUUCGCCGGUGACGAAGCGUGAGUGACGGUAAUGGGUAAAGAAGCACCGGCUAACUACGUG